AGGACGAACGCUGGCGGCGUGCUUAACACAUGCAAGUCGAGCGGAAAGGCCCUUCGGGGUACUCGAGCGGCGAACGGGUGAGUAACACGUGAGCAACCUGCCCUUAGCUCCGGGAUAGCUCCGGGAAACCGGAAUUAAUACCGGAUACAACACCGGCCGACAUCGGCCGGUGUGGAAAGAAUUUCGGCUAGGGAUGGACUCGCGGCCUAUCAGCUAGUUGGUGGGUAAAGGCCUACCAAGGCGACGACGGGUAGCCGG
This 258-nucleotide ribosomal RNA is filed under the name uncultured bacterium. Its description in RNAcentral is "partial small subunit ribosomal RNA". It matches the Rfam family "Bacterial small subunit ribosomal RNA", at positions 26 to 290 of the family's 1533-position model. The record is from RNAcentral.